This 201-nucleotide long non-coding RNA is filed under the name Gossypium barbadense (sea-island cotton). RNAcentral's name for it is "long non-coding RNA (GBAR_LNC003036)". The record is from RNAcentral. Lineage: Eukaryota; Viridiplantae; Streptophyta; Magnoliopsida; Malvales; Malvaceae.
GAAGAGAAAAGCUCUCAUGUUGUUCUUGGCCGAAUAGGAGAAAGAAAAAGAAGGAAAAAGAGCUUUGAGGAAAUCGGCUAUGGUGGUUUGAUAGACUAAGGUAUGCUUGAUGAUGUUCCAUGAGAUGCAUGCAUGUUUUAGUAGUUAGCUUGAGUUCUAAAUAGCCCAUGGUUCAAAUCUUUACUAUGUCAUGGAGAUGAU